GCCGAGGUAGUCUAGCAAGGUAAGGCGCCAGACUAAGGAUCUGGUCGAUCACGUCAGAUCGCCGCGGGUUCGAAUCCCGUCCUCGGCG
RNAcentral lists this transfer RNA (88 nucleotides) under Candidatus Methanoperedens sp. RNAcentral describes it as "tRNA-Leu". It matches the Rfam family "tRNA". From Rfam's summary of the family: Transfer RNA (tRNA) molecules are approximately 80 nucleotides in length. Their secondary structure includes four short double-helical elements and three loops (D, anti-codon, and T loops). The record is from RNAcentral. Lineage: Archaea; Methanobacteriati; Methanobacteriota; Methanomicrobia; Methanosarcinales; Candidatus Methanoperedentaceae.